Molecule: long non-coding RNA, 414 nt
Filed under: Callithrix jacchus (white-tufted-ear marmoset)
Lineage: Eukaryota; Metazoa; Chordata; Mammalia; Primates; Cebidae
Description: lncRNA (ENSCJAG00000070833.1)
Source: RNAcentral
AUCUACCCUCUGAAGUUUGCGUUAAAUCUUUUAACAAAAUUCAUUUCCCCUCUCCUAGAUACUAUCAAGCUUCAGAUGAUUAUUCCACAAGUGUUCCAGCCAAUCCACACCAGGCCAUCAAGGAGCUACCUUGCCUCCACUAGACAAAGCAGGGUGUGACUCUGGAACACUGCAUUGGUGUAGUAUCCAGACUGUACAGAAAACAUGGCAACAUCUGCUUCUGAGGAGGCCUCAGGGAGCUUUAAUUCAUGCAGAAGGCAAAGAUGGAGCAGGCAUCUUCAUGGCAAGAGCAGGACCAAGAGAGAUCGGGGAGCUGCUGUAUACUUUUAAACAACCAAAUCUCAUGAAAACUCACUAUCACAAUUGACAGAAACAAGAGGAAAAUCUGACCCCCGUGAUCCAGUCACUUUCCCA